GGGGUAGUAAAGGUUUCGACAGGGGUCUUGCAGCUGGAGAAGCUAUCCGUUGCGACACGUUAAUCGCAAAACUUAAAUUAAACGCUGAAGACAAUUUAGCACUUGCAGCGUAAGCUGCAAUGUCCGCUCUAGGGCACUCACACUUUAGAAUCCGGGCAUCGACUAUGUGAGAAACGACAUAUGUUAAGCUUUGCGCAUAUGGGCGUAUUAUGAAGCUACCAAACAUGUCAGGGUGUUCGUUUCCUGGCAUAGGAGGGAAUGGGUGUUACACCACGAUAACGGACUAUGAUAGUAGAAGGACAGGGAAUGGGCUUUUGGACACGGGUUCGACUCCCGUCUACUCCAC
This 346-nucleotide transfer-messenger RNA is filed under the name uncultured Acetatifactor sp. It matches the Rfam family "transfer-messenger RNA". Rfam says of the family: Bacterial tmRNA, also known as 10Sa RNA or SsrA, is named for its dual tRNA and mRNA-like properties. Lineage: Bacteria; Bacillati; Bacillota; Clostridia; Lachnospirales; Lachnospiraceae. The record is from RNAcentral.